AUUGAACGCUGGCGGCAUGCCUUACACAUGCAAGUCGAACGGCAGCACGGGAGCAAUCCUGGUGGCGAGUGGCGAACGGGUGAGUAAUAUAUCGGAACGUGCCCAGUCGUGGGGAUAACGUAGCGAAAGCUACGCUAAUACCGCAUACGAUCUAUGGAUGAAAGCGGGGGAUCGCAAGACCUCGCGCGAUUGGAGCGGCCGAUAUCAGAUUAGGUAGUUGGUGAGGUAAAGGCUCGCCAAGCCGACGAUCUGUAGCUGGUCUGAGAGGACGACCAGCCACACUGGGACUGAGACACGGCCCAGACUCCUACGGGAGGCAGCAGUGGGGAAUUUUUGGACAAUGGCGCAAGCCUGAUCCAGCAAUA
Molecule: ribosomal RNA, 365 nt
Filed under: uncultured bacterium
Lineage: Bacteria
Description: bacterial SSU rRNA
Rfam family: Bacterial small subunit ribosomal RNA
Source: RNAcentral